This is a long non-coding RNA of Felis catus (domestic cat), 509 nucleotides long. RefSeq lists it as uncharacterized. The transcript has 3 exons. NCBI's taxonomy places the organism in Eukaryota, Metazoa, Chordata, Mammalia, Carnivora, Felidae. The record is from RefSeq and is a predicted model, not a curated record.
AUUUCACUUCCUGUCUCACUUGGUGAGGAUACCAGAAGUAGGUUGUCUGAAGCUCUGAAAUACAGAAGACGGCUCUCACCACCAUUCUAUGGUGUUGGCACUCGAAAUCGGGACUUCCCAUCCUCCAAAACUUUGGAUAAAAGCAUUUCAGAGGAACUACAUGUGUUAUGUUGAUAGCAAGAUUUGGAAGACAGCUGCUGGGGAUGAUCACCAUAAAAGCACCUCUGGGAAGGAUUUAAAGACGUGUGUUUCAAGGGUGACUGUUCCACGUAGCUGAGACACCACCAGCCAUGGUGACUCAGAAUCAAGCCAAACUGAUGGUAAUUCCAGUUCUUAUAUCUCAUCCCAACUCUAACAUCUGAGCUUGUUGUCCUGCCCUUAUGAUGAAGAUUACAUCUGCUACCAUAACUACUGGAUCCUUUUAUUGGUUCUGAAUCUAAAUUGUAGUGAUAAUCUGUCCAGUAUUUAAUUCCAUCAUAACUGACUCCUUGUACUUAUUCUCUUCUCUU